Molecule: unclassified non-coding RNA, 1779 nt
Filed under: Hevea brasiliensis (rubber tree)
Lineage: Eukaryota; Viridiplantae; Streptophyta; Magnoliopsida; Malpighiales; Euphorbiaceae
Source: RNAcentral
CUGGAGCAGAUAUGGAUUAUCUCAAUUUCCUGCCACUGCUCUGUUUCAUAUGGGCAUGCAUCCAUGUCUUCACAUCUUAUAAGCUUGGCCGCCGGAAGUCCCUUCCACCGGGUCCCCGCCCUUUACCGUUCAUCGGAAACAUAUUCCAGCUCGGCGACAAACCCCACCAAGACCUUGCAAAACUCUCAAAAACUUUUGGACCUCUUGUGACCCUCGAGCUAGGUAGCUUAACAACUAUAGUCGUAUCUUCUCCUGAUCUUGCCAAAGAAGCAUUAAUCAAACACGACCAAGCCUUAUUUAGCCGGACAAUUCCAGAAAACAUUCGCGCGUAUAACCACCACAAUAAUUCGGUGGUGUGGUUGCCCUCAUCAACUCAUUGGAGAAACCUCAGGAAGAUCGGUGCGACGCAAAUGUUCACAGUGCAAAGGCUCGACGCUAGCCAAGAAGUUCGUCGAAAAAAGGUGCAACAAUUGCUAGAUUUUGUGUAUGAAAAUUGCAAGAAGGAUCAAGCCAUUGAUAUUGGUCAAGCUGCCUUCACCACAACCCUUAAUCUAAUGUCAAGCACCUUCUUCUCUAUUGAUUUGGCGGGAUAUUCUUCUGAUAUUUCACAUGAGUUUAAUGACCUUGUAGUUAAAAUAAUGGAAGAAACUGGAAGGCCAAAUCUUGCAGACUAUUUCCCCAUCCUUAGUUUAGUGGAUCCACAAGGUGCUUACAAACGCACGAAGAUUUACUUUGAAAGAUUACUUCAACUUUUUGAUGGUAUCAUCAACGAUCGGAUCGCUUCAGGAAGGACAUCUAAGGUAAGCCAAAGCCAUGAUGUACUCGAGUCGCUUCUCAUGCUUGUCAAAGAAGGCAAUUCCGAAAUAAGCCUUCUUGAUAUAAAGCAUCUGCUCUUGGUGAGCACUUUAUCUCUUUCCUCUCUUAUAUAUAAUGCACCAGAUGAUUUUUUUUUAGGCCAAGUUUGAGCAUAUUGUUAGAGAUUUUGAAUUCCAUUCUACAAAUUUCUCUGUUGUCAAUGUAGGAUUAUUUUGUUGCGGGUACUGACACAACCGCAAGGACAUUAGAGUGGACAAUGGCAGAGCUACUCCACAACCCUGAAAAACUUGCAAAAGCUAAAGGCGAGCUCAAAGCAUUUGAGGGGGUAGUCCAAGAAGCUGACUUGUCCAAGUUCCCUUAUCUGCAAGCAAUAGUUAAAGAGACUUUUCGAUUGCACCCACCGGCUCCAUUCCUGGUGCCCCGUAAAGCUGAAUCUGAGGUUGAGAUAAGCCGCUUCAGGAUUCCCAAAAAUGCGCAAAUACUAGUCAACGUCUGGGCAAUGGGAACAGAUGCAAGCAUAUGGCAGAACCCAUAUAGCUUCGAGCCUGAGAGGUUUCUAGAUAGCAAAAUUGACGUGAGAGGGAGAGAUUUUGAGCUAAUCCCAUUUGGAGCCGGAAGAAGGAUUUGCCCAGGAUUGCCAUUAGCGCACAGGAUGGUCCACUUAAUGUUGGCUUCUCUUAUCCAUUCAUUCGAGUGGAAGCUGGCAAAUGGGAUGAAGGCUAAGGACAUGGACAUGAAUGAAACAUUUGGCCUCACAUUACGCAAGACUGAGCCUCUCUUGGCAGUCCCACAUCUCCAUUAAACCUAAACAGCAAACUUUUUCCUUUCAUUUCCUUUUUCUGUAUCCCGAAUCAAAAUUAUAUUUAAUGAAUCUUUAAUUUUAAAUAAAACCAAAUUGGCUGGUGUAGUUUGGUUUUACUGCUUAAACUAAAUAAUAAAUUAAAUCAAAAUUAUGUGUUAUUG